Molecule: long non-coding RNA, 942 nt
Organism: Daphnia magna
Lineage: Eukaryota; Metazoa; Arthropoda; Branchiopoda; Diplostraca; Daphniidae
Exons: 3
Source: RefSeq, a predicted model, not a curated record
CCAAAUUUUGAAUUUUGCUUAAAAUACAUGAUUUUGAUUCAAAAUUGAAUGAAAAUCACGGAAAUCAAGUUUAUUUUUCCAUUGGUCCUAUAGUUUUUCAACUAAACUUAAAAAACAGAGUUGGUGCUCUAACAGCACUUUAUUUUCGUUUAUUUAAAAAAUGGCUGGUUUAACGAGAAAACCAUAACGUAAUCGAAAUCAGUGUUCAAUUUUGAUAACAUUGUGUGAUGUGGCCUUUUUCUCCAAGGUUUAUCGGGAACUUUGGUAGUCGUUGAGUCCUUCUUUCAUCAAGAGUAAUGCGUAUUUUUAGGCGCAAUCUAAGGUCUAAGGCCGAAACAUUCCUAUUGAAUACCCUAGAAUGCAACAAUUGGGUAAGGACAUCUGGCGGAUGAAUUUCAGACUAACUGAAUUUUGACAUCCAUUAAAAUGAUACAGGAUGGGGUGUGUGACUGUGUGUCCAAGUAACAAGUAACCCUUAAGUUUGUUUUCUUAGCUAAUUUUUGUGUUCCCAUCGAUAAUUCAGCUAUUGACUAUGGGUGUGUUAUUUACGAUCUAGUAAGUUCAGUGUUACGUGUCUGUUGGAGAAAGAACACUUCAAAGGGAUUGUUUUUUUUUCUGUCUCACAGUUUCCCUUGUCAUCAGAUAGGCAAGGUGUUGAACCACGAAAUUGUUAGCAGCCCAGGAUGAAACUAUUUCAAACUAAAAGCACUAAGGAUGUGGACGCUGGAAGAAUUGUGAGCAUCUUAGGUCUGUCAAUUUUCAUCAUAUGAUGAUGGCAAUGCCAUUGUUCAGUGAGAGGAUUCAUAUUCUACCCAGCAAUCUACCCAUAAGCUUCAACGCUAUCAUCUUAUUAGGGCUGCCAGCCUUCGUCUUUGUUUCUACGCAAACCGCCGUCCAGACGAUUUCCGCAUUUCUAUCCAUCAGACUGCACGCAUUAAGUAA